RNAcentral lists this ribosomal RNA (350 nucleotides) under uncultured bacterium. Its description in RNAcentral is "bacterial SSU rRNA". It matches the Rfam family "Bacterial small subunit ribosomal RNA", at positions 30 to 326 of the family's 1533-position model. The record is from RNAcentral.
AUUGAACGCUGGCGGCAUGCCUUACACAUGCAAGUCGAACGUGAAAGCGGGGCAACCCGCAAGUAGAGUGGCGGACGGGUGAGUAAUACAUCGGAACGUGUCCAGUAAUGGGGGAUAACCUAGCGAAAGUUAGGCUAAUACCGCAUACGAUCUGCGGAUGAAAGCGGGGGAUGCGGCACUAAAGGCUUUUGGCGAAGGUGGCCAAAGGUGAGUCAAGAGCUUUUAGUGCUGCACCUCGCGUUAUUGGAGCGGGCUGAUGUCUGAUUAGCUAGUUGGUGAGGUAAAGGCUUACCAAGGCGACGAUCAGUAGCUGGUCUGAGAGGACGGCCAGCCACACUGGGACUGAGACA